UAUUUCUAUCAACGACUGUCUGGUUUCAGG
Molecule: non-coding RNA, 30 nt
Filed under: Rattus norvegicus (Norway rat)
Lineage: Eukaryota; Metazoa; Chordata; Mammalia; Rodentia; Muridae
Source: RNAcentral